AGAGUUUGAUCAUGGCUCAGAACGAACGCUGGCGGCGUGCCUAACACAUGCAAGUCGAGCGCGAAAGUUUCCUUCGGGAAGCGAGUAGAGCGGCGAACGGGUGAGUACAACGUAGGUAACCUACCCCCGAGACUGGGAUAACCUGUCGAAAGACGGGCUAAUACCGGAUAAGACCACGAGGGCUGCGGCCCUUGGGGCAAAAGGUGGCCUCUGCUUGCAAGCUACUACUCGAGGAGGGGCCUGCGCGCCAUUAGCUAGUUGGUGAGGUAACGGCUCACCAAGGCGAAGAUGGCUAGCUGGUCUGAGAGGAUGGCCAGCCACACUGGGACUGAGACACGGCCCAGACUCCUACGGGAGGCAGCAGUGGGGAAUCUUGCGCAAUGGGCGAAAGCCUGACGCAGCGACGCCGCGUGGGUGAUGAAGGCCUUCGGGUCGUAAAGCCCUGUCGGGAGGGAAGAAAUCUCAUCGGCCUAAUAUGCCGAUGACUUGACGGUACCUCUUAAGGAAGCACCGGCUAACUACGUGCCAGCAGCCGCGGUA
RNAcentral lists this ribosomal RNA (540 nucleotides) under uncultured Pseudomonadota bacterium. RNAcentral describes it as "bacterial SSU rRNA". It matches the Rfam family "Bacterial small subunit ribosomal RNA", at positions 8 to 522 of the family's 1533-position model. The record is from RNAcentral. Lineage: Bacteria; Pseudomonadati; Pseudomonadota.